Molecule: long non-coding RNA, 516 nt
Organism: Vigna radiata var. radiata (mung bean)
Lineage: Eukaryota; Viridiplantae; Streptophyta; Magnoliopsida; Fabales; Fabaceae
Exons: 2
Source: RefSeq, a predicted model, not a curated record
UCCAAAAGGGAAUAAUGUGGACUUUUUGUCAAUUUAUUUGGAUGCUGCUGUUGCUACUAUGCCUCAUGGAUGGGAAAAAUUUGCAAAUUUCAAACUCAUUAUGAUUAAUCAGCUCAAUAACGAAAAAAAUAUAAUAAAAGAAAGUAGCCAUACGUUCAAUUCAAAGCAGAGUGACUGGGGAUUCACUUCUUACAUAUCUUUGAAAGAACUUUGGGACUCUAGUCGCGGGUUCAUUUUAAAUGAUACUUGUAUAAUUGAAGCUCAUAUAUUGGUUCAUAUGUCAGAGCAUAAGAAACAAGUUGAUGUAUCAGAUAAGAACAUUGACAAUAAGCUUGUUGAAAGCAUUGAAAAUAGUUCAUCCAUGGAAAUGAUUUCAACCUCAUCAUUUGGUGAGGUGGUGGAUUUUAGGAGCAUAGGAAAAGUAGAAAAAGAUUUUAUUCCUCUGUUAGAAGAUGUUUGUUCACGAUAUCCCUCUCUUUGGAUAGCAAGAAGCGGAGAAGUCAAAGAUUUAUUGAA